CCGCCCCCGCCUCCACCCAGGUGGCCGUCAAGGUCGCCAUGAGGCGCCUAUGACAGAACGUAGGGCCGCGGGGUGAGCGUUCGUGAGGACGCGCGCAGGCUGCGCCCGAGUGGGGAAUAAAGACUUCCGUGUCCCUGUCCUCUGGUGUCGCCGCUGAGAGGCGACCGCCGUGCUGAAGCCACGGAAAACACCGGGACCCUGACGAGGGCGGGCGGGGAGGGAAGAAGUGCUUCUUCCCUCCUCUCCGGUUCCCUCACCGCGGGCGGCCUUGUACACCCUGAGUUCAGUGGGCUGUGCGUCAGGAUUGAGGCUUUCUUGGAUUUUGGCUGUCCACGUCACUCAGAAAACAGGCAGGGGCCUCUUUGUGAACAUGAGAUCAGCCUACUGUGGGGAGCUCCAGGCCAGCCAGAACUACAAACAAGACCUAGAGGACAUGUAACCAUAAAGAGACUCAACACUCAGGAGGCAGAGGCAGGCAGACCUCUGUGAGUCUGAGUCCAGCCUGGUCUACAAAGCAAGUACCCUGACAGCCAGAACUACAAAGAGAAACCUUGUCUGGAAGAAGAGGAGGGGCAGGUGAGGGGAUGGGAGGUUGGGGGGAGACUUGCUUUCUCUCUCAGACUUUAUAGACUGCCUAAGAUCCGGGAUAGCUCCAACUGAAAACCUACACUUCCCAACUUCCCACCCAGUAAGGGGCCCUAGUCCUUCCUGCAGGCAUUUUGACCAUGGGGUGGAGGCAGACAGAGGUGGCCCUUACCAUGAAUGAGGAUGGUCUUGCCCUCUGUUCUCUUUAGAGCUGUCCUUAACAAUCCUGUCCUGGGAUGACAAAUCAAGGACAACCUGUGACACCUAGUGAAAGCCUAUGAAAAGGACAAAAGGGGAGCUGGAGAGAAGGUAGUUAAGGUCACUGACUGCUCUUGCAGGGGACUGGGUUUUGAUUCCCAGACUUCAUAUACAAACUAGAGUUUGAGAGGAUCUCUAGCCCAGUGGUGGAGGCGCACACCUUUAAUCCCAGCAGUACACCCCUAUUCCCGAGGCAGAUCUCUGUAAGUUCAAAGCCAGCCUGGUCUACAGAGAUAGUUCCAGGACAGCCUCCAAAGCCACAGAGAAAUCCUGUCUCAAAUAAAUAAUAAGUAUGCUGGAUCUGUAUAUGCUAUGGUUUAAUCUACAGUAC
RNAcentral lists this long non-coding RNA (1174 nucleotides) under Cricetulus griseus (Chinese hamster). RNAcentral's name for it is "lncRNA (ENSCGRG00015037534.1)". Lineage: Eukaryota; Metazoa; Chordata; Mammalia; Rodentia; Cricetidae. The record is from RNAcentral.